Molecule: ribosomal RNA, 564 nt
Filed under: uncultured bacterium
Lineage: Bacteria
Description: bacterial SSU rRNA
Rfam family: Bacterial small subunit ribosomal RNA
Source: RNAcentral
AGAGUUUGAUUAUGGCUCAGAUUGAACGCUGGCGGCAGGCCUAACACAUGCAAGUCGAACGGUAACAGGAAGCAGCUUGCUGCUUCGCUGACGAGUGGCGGACGGGUGAGUAAUGUCUGGGAAACUGCCUGAUGGAGGGGGAUAACUACUGGAAACGGUAGCUAAUACCGCAUAACGUCGCAAGACCAAAGAGGGGGACCUUCGGGCCUCUUGCCAUCGGAUGUGCCCAGAUGGGAUUAGCUAGUAGGUGGGGUAACGGCUCACCUAGGCGACGAUCCCUAGCUGGUCUGAGAGGAUGACCAGCCACACUGGAACUGAGACACGGUCCAGACUCCUACGGGAGGCAGCAGUGGGGAAUAUUGCACAAUGGGCGCAAGCCUGAUGCAGCCAUGCCGCGUGUAUGAAGAAGGCCUUCGGGUUGUAAAGUACUUUCAGCGGGGAGGAAGGGAGUAAAGUUAAUACCUUUGCUCAUUGACGUUACCCGCAGAAGAAGCACCGGCUAACUCCGUGCCAGCAGCCGCGGUAAUACGGAGGGUGCAAGCGUUAAUCGGAAUUACUGGGCGU